GACGAACGCUGGCGGCGUGCUUAACACAUGCAAGUCGAACGGAAAGGCCCUGCUUUUGUGGGGUGCUCGAGUGGCGAACGAGUGAGUAACACGUGAGUAACCUGCCCUUGACUUUGGGAUAACUUCAGGAAACUGGGGCUAAUACCGGUUAGGAGCUCCUGCUGCAUGGUGGGGGUUGGAAAGUUUCGGCGGUUGGGGAUGGACUCGCGGCUUAUCAGCUUGUUGGUGGGGUAGUGGCUUACCAAGGCUUUGACGGGUAGCCGGCCUGAGAGGGUGACCGGCCACAUUGGGACUGAGAUACGGCCCAGACUCCUACGGGAGGCAGCAGUGGGGAAUAUUGCACAAUGGGCGGAAGCCUGAUGCAGCAACGCCGCGUGCGGGAUGACGGCCUUCGGGUUGUAAACCGCUUUCGCCUGUGACGAAGCGUGAGUGACGGUAAUGGGUAAAGAAGCACCGGCUAACUACGUG
RNAcentral lists this ribosomal RNA (468 nucleotides) under uncultured bacterium. Its description in RNAcentral is "partial 16S ribosomal RNA". It matches the Rfam family "Bacterial small subunit ribosomal RNA", at positions 28 to 507 of the family's 1533-position model. The record is from RNAcentral.